GUGCUCUGUAGCAGCACAUAUACUAAAAUUGGAAUGGUGCAGAGAUUAGCAUGUCCUCUGAGCAAGAAUGGCACAAAAAUUUGUCUUAAAUUUUCAACUUCCAU
This is a small nuclear RNA of Peromyscus eremicus (cactus mouse), 104 nucleotides long. Lineage: Eukaryota; Metazoa; Chordata; Mammalia; Rodentia; Cricetidae. The record is from RefSeq and is a predicted model, not a curated record.